AGGGACAGUAGUCCAGAAAUCUUGGGGAGGGUUUGAUGGUUCAGGCAAUAAAAAGAGAAGUCAUCUACCUAGCUGUUAUCUCGCUCUGUCCUGCUAAGAAUCUGCCUGCCUGAGUGAUGCAGCCAGGCUCCCUUGUUCCCUGGGGCAAGGAACCAGUAGAGGGAUAGGGAAUCACAGUGUUUCCCGGCUGCAAGGGCCCUUGGAGAUGGUUUUACAGAUGAGGAAGCAGAGUCCAGAGAAAGGAAGUGAUCUGCUGGGAACCACUGUACUUUUCACACAAGCAACUUUCCGGGCAUCUGCUAUGUGCUGUCCACAGGAUGGCGAGGGGCCUCAUCUUGCAGCCUGAGGGAACAGCCUCAUAUUCAGGCUUCCUUUUGCCUUCUCUGCUUCACCUUGAUUGAAGCUACCCUUCUCUGCACCUUCUUUAAGUGUUGAGGCCAAGAUAACGAUGAGAGGACUUUAGUUCACAGGUAAAGUUUGAAGCAAGGAAAACUGAUCCUCUCCUUGUCCAGAGAUUGAAGCUACAUUCAUAUGACAAGGCUAGAACUAUGGUGGAG
This 557-nucleotide long non-coding RNA is filed under the name Homo sapiens (human). RNAcentral's name for it is "HSALNT0334420". Lineage: Eukaryota; Metazoa; Chordata; Mammalia; Primates; Hominidae. The record is from RNAcentral.